UACGUAGGGUGCGAGCGUUAAUCGGAAUUACUGGGCGUAAAGCGUGCGCAGGCGGGCUUUUAAGCCAGCCGUGAAAUCCCCGGGCUUAACCUGGGGAUGGCGUUUGGGACUGGGAGUCUGGAGUGCGGCAGAGGAGACUGGAAUUCCUGGUGUAGCGGUGAAAUGCGCAGAUAUCAGGAGGAACACCGGUGGCGAAGGCGGGACUCUGGGCCGAUACUGACGCUGAGGAGCGAAAGCGUGGGGAGCAAACAGG
Molecule: ribosomal RNA, 253 nt
Filed under: uncultured bacterium
Lineage: Bacteria
Description: partial 16S ribosomal RNA
Rfam family: Bacterial small subunit ribosomal RNA
Source: RNAcentral